RNAcentral lists this ribosomal RNA (953 nucleotides) under Massilia violaceinigra. Its description in RNAcentral is "bacterial SSU rRNA". It matches the Rfam family "Bacterial small subunit ribosomal RNA", at positions 56 to 1008 of the family's 1533-position model. Lineage: Bacteria; Pseudomonadati; Pseudomonadota; Betaproteobacteria; Burkholderiales; Oxalobacteraceae. The record is from RNAcentral.
UGCAGUCGAACGGCAGCGCGGGGCAACCUGGCGGCGAGUGGCGAACGGGUGAGUAAUAUAUCGGAACGUACCCUGGAGUGGGGGAUAACGUAGCGAAAGUUACGCUAAUACCGCAUACGAUCUAAGGAUGAAAGUGGGGGAUCGCAAGACCUCAUGCUCCUGGAGCGGCCGAUAUCUGAUUAGCUAGUUGGUGGGGUAAAGGCCUACCAAGGCAUCGAUCAGUAGCUGGUCUGAGAGGACGACCAGCCACACUGGAACUGAGACACGGUCCAGACUCCUACGGGAGGCAGCAGUGGGGAAUUUUGGACAAUGGGCGCAAGCCUGAUCCAGCAAUGCCGCGUGAGUGAAGAAGGCCUUCGGGUUGUAAAGCUCUUUUGUCAGGGAAGAAACGGGUGGAGCUAAUAUCUCUGCCUAAUGACGGUACCUGAAGAAUAAGCACCGGCUAACUACGUGCCAGCAGCCGCGGUAAUACGUAGGGUGCAAGCGUUAAUCGGAAUUACUGGGCGUAAAGCGUGCGCAGGCGGUUUUGUAAGUCUGUCGUGAAAUCCCCGGGCUCAACCUGGGAAUUGCGAUGGAGACUGCAAGGCUAGAAUCUGGCAGAGGGGGGUAGAAUUCCACGUGUAGCAGUGAAAUGCGUAGAGAUGUGGAGGAACACCGAUGGCGAAGGCAGCCCCCUGGGUCAAGAUUGACGCUCAUGCACGAAAGCGUGGGGAGCAAACAGGAUUAGAUACCCUGGUAGUCCACGCCCUAAACGAUGUCUACUAGUUGUCGGGUCUUAAUUGACUUGGUAACGCAGCUAACGCGUGAAGUAGACCGCCUGGGGAGUACGGUCGCAAGAUUAAAACUCAAAGGAAUUGACGGGGACCCGCACAAGCGGUGGAUGAUGUGGAUUAAUUCGAUGCAACGCGAAAAACCUUACCUACCCUUGACAUGGACGGAACCCUGGAGAGAUC